CGGGCGUGGUGGUGGACG
RNAcentral lists this microRNA (18 nucleotides) under Macrophomina phaseolina MS6. RNAcentral describes it as "miR-1268". Lineage: Eukaryota; Fungi; Ascomycota; Dothideomycetes; Botryosphaeriales; Botryosphaeriaceae. The record is from RNAcentral.